GGAAAACAAAGCGUACGGUGAGAGCCGUUCGCCGCGCCGCUAACUUUUCGUGCGCAUGAAUUUGUGGAGGGGCUGAAGGCUGGCCAAGCGUUGACGCUGCUUACUUUGCAGAACUCGCUUGCGCGGGCCUCCCAUUAGGACCCACCCCCCAAAACAGUCCAAAAUUUAACGGUUGAAACUGUGUAUAUUUUCACUUGCGCAUUUUAUCGAGCAGGAGAGGGGACAAAAAGAGUCGUUGAAUGAACUAAAUUAUUCCAACAGGGAUUGAGCUGACUAGGGUUGAUGGAGACAUGGUUCUUGCAGGCCAACUUGGUGCACGAUUGAUGACUGUAUGUUAACUGUUUUCUUGUGCUCUUGAGCGCAACAUCAAUAAUGGAUCUUUCUGUGGUGUUUAAUUUCCAUCUUCUGUCUUGUAGUGAUCUGUCUGAUGCUGCAAACAGUUUAGAAACUACCAAGGGCUAAUGAAAAGACAAAAGUACUAGGCUUGAAAACUUGAAAUUCAAUUAGGAUGAAAAUUUUAGUCUUCCUAUCAUAAACAAAUCAAUAUAUGACACAUCAUCAGGCUCAAUCUAAAAUGAUAUCAGAUUAUGGCUAUUGUUUUCUGCCGACUUGGAAAAACAGGCUCAAAUAGUAGCAUCAUUCUUGAGGUGUACACGUGCUCUCAUGCGUCAAUCCACAUUCUGUGAUUAUUGGUGACCCGUCUAGGUGAACCACAGAUAAAAAAUGUACUGUUUUUACUCUUGCAAUAUUGGUCCCUAAUACUUGGAGGUUGGCAAAAAAGGAAUGAUAAGAAAAGUUUGGAUAGCACAUGGUUAACUGGGUGAAGGGUUGCUUCAUUUUGAGCUUCUUGUUAUACCGAAAAAUAAUAAAGACCAGUGAACAUAGAAAAACCAUUUCUUCUUGGAUUCAUGAUCUAGUGAUUCAAUAAAUUAAAAAAUUCAAUUGUCCCUCAUUCUUAAAUAUUCUUUAUGGCUUUCACAGAUAGGGAAGACCCAAGGGAAGCCAAGAUCUCAGUUGAGAGACUGCUUAUUUGAAGGAAAAUAUCUUGGAGAAGCAAACAAAUUUUCUUUUCUUUGGAUGCUCGGUCCAUUCCUGAUUGGUUUAUUGUGCCAUAGAGUGCCUAUGAUUUAUGCUUUUUUCCCAGUUGGAAUAUGUUGAUGGCACUGGAUGAUGAGGUCGAAGAGAGAAAAGACAAACCUGUCAAGAACCGCUAGCAAGAAGACAGGAAUGUUCAUGCAUUUAACCAAGAAAAUAUAUUGUCAAUACUUUUCCCAGUGAUCAUGGAUCAACGGAUCAUGUGCUAGUCAUGUUAUCUAAGAAGAAAACUUUUUUUUUUCAUGGGUUUCAAAUGCAUGUUCUACCAUGACUAUGAUUCUUACACUAUCACAUUUUUGUGUACGUUAAUCUGCAGAAGAGGUGGAGUUGCGAAGCCAAGUGAUUCUGUACAUCUUCUGUAGCGAAAUUGAAUCUAUACUGCUAGCAGACACGAUUGAAAUGUAGGAAGGAUAGAGCCAUCAAAAGCUAGAGAAUAAAGAUCCCAAAAUGGGGAAAUAUCUCCUUGGAGACCUUGUGACAAGAAAUUGGUAAGGGAUGCCACAAUUCAAACUGGCAUCUCGGCGGGUUGGCUUGGCUUGGCUGUGCCCCUACUUGCUCAAUGUCAUGAUCAACAGUAUGGGCCCAUUUUGUUGGAUUUGCUUCCUCUAUAAUUCCAAUUAAAUACAUUCUUAAUUCCAUCUAUU
Molecule: unclassified non-coding RNA, 1739 nt
Filed under: Hevea brasiliensis (rubber tree)
Lineage: Eukaryota; Viridiplantae; Streptophyta; Magnoliopsida; Malpighiales; Euphorbiaceae
Rfam family: U12 minor spliceosomal RNA (bases 1-133)
Source: RNAcentral